RNAcentral lists this ribosomal RNA (383 nucleotides) under uncultured Lactobacillus sp. Its description in RNAcentral is "bacterial SSU rRNA". It matches the Rfam family "Bacterial small subunit ribosomal RNA", at positions 162 to 526 of the family's 1533-position model. The record is from RNAcentral. Lineage: Bacteria; Bacillati; Bacillota; Bacilli; Lactobacillales; Lactobacillaceae.
GCUAAUACCGGAUAAGAAAAGCAGAUCGCAUGAUCAAGCUUUUAAAAAGGCGGCGUAAGCUGUCGCUAUGGGAUGGCCCCGCGGUGCAUUAGCUAGUUGGUAAGGUAAAAGGCUUACCAAGGCGAUGAUGCAUAGCCGAGUUGAGAGACUGAUCGGCCACAUUGGGACUGAGACACGGCCCAAACUCCUACGGGAGGCAGCAGUAGGGAAUCUUCCACAAUGGACGCAAGUCUGAUGGAGCAACGCCGCGUGAGUGAAGAAGGUUUUCGGAUCGUAAAGCUCUGUUGUUGGUGAAGAAGGAUAGAGGUAGUAACUGGCCUUUAUUUGACGGUAAUCAACCAGAAAGUCACGGGCUAACUACGUGCCAGCAGCCGCGGUAAAAU